This 301-nucleotide ribosomal RNA is filed under the name uncultured bacterium. RNAcentral describes it as "partial 16S ribosomal RNA". It matches the Rfam family "Bacterial small subunit ribosomal RNA", at positions 509 to 807 of the family's 1533-position model. The record is from RNAcentral.
CAGUAGCCGCGGGAAUACAGAGGUCCCGAGCGUUAGGCGGAAUCACUGGGCUUAAAGCGUGUGUAGGCGGAUCGGUAAGUACCUUGUGAAAUCCCAUGGCUUAACCAUGGAACUGCUUGGUAUACUGCCAGUCUUGAGCCAGCUAGGGGCUACCGGAACAAAUGGUGGAGCGGUGAAAUGCGUAGAUAUCAUUUGGAACGCCAAUGGAGAAAUCAGGUAGCUGGGGCUGUGCUGACGCUGAGACAUGAAAGCCAGGGGAGCGAACGGGAUUAGAUACCCCUGUAGUCCCUGUCUCUUAUAC